Molecule: ribosomal RNA, 253 nt
Filed under: uncultured bacterium
Lineage: Bacteria
Description: partial 16S ribosomal RNA
Rfam family: Bacterial small subunit ribosomal RNA
Source: RNAcentral
GACGAACCGUGCGAACGUUAUUCGGAAUCACUGGGCUUAAAGGGUGCAUAGGCUGGUUGCCAAGUCUGUGGUGAAAUCCUCCGGCUUAACCGGAGAACUGCCGUGGAUACUGGCGACCUCGAGUGGGGUAGGGGCUUGCGGAACUGUGCGUGGAGCGGUGAAAUGCGUUGAUAUGCACAGGAACUCCGGUGGCGAAGGCGGCGAGCUGGACCCUAACUGACGCUGAGGCACGAAAGCCAGGGGAGCGAGCGGG